This 1852-nucleotide long non-coding RNA is filed under the name Anser brachyrhynchus (Pink-footed goose). RNAcentral's name for it is "lncRNA (ENSABRG00000000265.1)". The record is from RNAcentral. Lineage: Eukaryota; Metazoa; Chordata; Aves; Anseriformes; Anatidae.
UCCCUCCCCGCCCUCCCUCUCCUUCCCUUCCCCUCCUCUCCCUUCCCUUCCCCGCGCCCUGGCUCGGCGCCCGCCGGCCCCGCGGUGAGUGGGGGGGGGGUUGGGGGGGCCGGCCCGGGGGGCGCCGUCGGGGCCCCCCCCUGACCGGCGCCGCGCUCCGCUCCGCCCGCAGCUGGACGCCAAGAAGAGCCCGCUGGCGCUGCUGGCCCAGACCUGCUCGCAGAUCGGCAAGCCCGACCCGCCGCCCUCCUCCAAGCUCAACGCCGUGGCCGCCGCCGGGCUGCCCGCCGCCGACAAGGAGCCCGCCGCCCGCCCCGCCGCGCUCAAGCCGCCGGGGGGGGACGCGCCCCCCGAGGACAAGUCCAGCUUCAAGCCCUACUCCAAGGGCGGCGCGGAGCCGCGCAAGGAGGGCGGCGCGGACAAGGCCGGCUUUCGGGUGCCCAGCGCCGCCUGCCCGCCGUUCCCCCCGCACGCCGCCGCCGCCUCGCCCGGCGGCUCCCGCGGCGCCUCCCCGCAGCACGCCGAGCCCAAGGGCGCCGAGGAGAAGAAGGAGCCCGAGGCGGCCAAGCCCAGCCCCGACGGGGCGGGCGGCGCGCUGGGGCGCGGGGCGGCCGAGCCCGGGGCGCACGGCGAGCCCCCCUCGGGCCGCAAGUCGGAGCCGCCCGCCCUGCCGCCCGCCGGCCAUGUGGCCCCCGUGUCGCCCUACAAGCCCGGCCACUCCGUCUUCCCCCUGCCGCCCUCCAGCAUCGGCUACCACGGCUCCAUCGUGGGCGCCUACGCCGGCUACCCCUCCCAGUUCGUGCCCGGGCUGGACCCCACCAAGCCGGGCCUGGUGGGCGGCCAGCUGCCGGGCGCCCUGGGGCUGCCGGGGAAGCCGCCCAGCUCCAGCCCGCUCACCGGGGCCUCGCCGCCCUCCUUCAUGCAGGGAUUAUGCCGGGACCCGUACUGCCUGAGCUACCACAGCGCCUCGCACCUGGGCUCCAGCAACUGCUCCAGCUGCGUGCACGACCCCGGCAGCCUGAAGAGCGGAUACCCCUUGGUGUACCCCACGCACCCCCUGCACUCGGUGCACACCACGCUCUCCUCCAGCGGCACCGCCAGCCUGCCCGGCCACCCCCUCUACACCUACGGCUUCAUGCUGCAGAACGACCCCCUGCCCCACAUAUGCAACUGGGUGUCUGCCAGCGGACCCUGCGACAAGAGGUUUGCCACCUCGGAGGAGCUGCUCACCCACCUACGGACCCACACGGCCCUGCCGGGGGCGGAGAAACUCUUGGCGGGUUACCCUACCUCCGGGCUGGGCUCCGCGGCCUCCUGCCACCUCCACCUCCCGCCCGCCGCCCCCGGGAGCCCCAACACGUUACCGGCCUCCCUGUCCUUGAGGAGCCCACACACUUUGGGACUAAACAGGUACCACCCGUACGGCAAGAGCCAUUUGCCCACAGCCGGCGCCCUGCCGGUGCCGUCCUUGCCGGCCGCCGGACCUUACUACUCCCCGUACGCGCUCUACGGCCAAAGACUAACUUCAGCUUCUGCACUCGGAUACCAGUAACUACGGCAGCCCCUUCCCCUCCUCCGGUCUCCUCCUUGCCCGAGCUCCCCGCUCCCUCCUUGGACUGUGUAUUUAUUUACUGUAUGUUAGCUUAAAGCUGGGAAUAUAAGUGCAUUAAUCCACCAAUGAAUCAAUGGUAUGCAAAAAGUCUGUGUCCAAAAAAAAAAAAAAAAAGAAAAAAAGAAAAAAAAAAAUCUUUACUUUGCAGGUGUGGGGCUUUUAUUUUUCCCUUCUGUUUCUUUUGAUUUUUUUUUUUNNNNNNNNNNNNNNNNNNNNNNNNNNNNNNNNNNNNNNNNNNNN